Molecule: long non-coding RNA, 480 nt
Filed under: Oryza brachyantha (malo sina)
Lineage: Eukaryota; Viridiplantae; Streptophyta; Magnoliopsida; Poales; Poaceae
Description: long non-coding RNA (OBRA_LNC000761)
Source: RNAcentral
UCGCCCACGCCCGCCGCGGCCGCUGGUGCUGCUGGCACCAGCUCGCGGCCCCGCCGCCGCCGCCCAGGUACCCCACGCCGACGGGCCUCGCGCACGCCGAGCUCAUCGCCGAUCUUCUUCUCUCCCCACCACCAGGUGACGGCGAGGGACGCAACACCUACGUGCAGGUCGCGACUUGGUACUAAACCAAGAUCAAAUCUACGCCUUGAUCCGCUUGUGAAAAUGAGCCGUGGGGGAAGCUGUUCGAUGGUUGCGGCUAUACCGCUGCAAGGAUACGCUUAUAUAGCGCUGCGACUCUGCGAGUGUGACGGAAGCUGGCCGCUAAGGUCCUCUCUCUCUCUCUCUCUUCACUCAUUCUUUCUCUCUAGAAGACGCGGAGCAGGGAAGAUAAGCGCGAAAAGGUGUCAUCGCCCACUGAAAGCGCUAUCCUUUCUUCUUGUCUAGGACAGCUUUUCAGCCUGACUUUACCCCUACUGGAUU